AUUGAACGCUGGCGGCAUGCUUUACACAUGCAAGUCGAACGGUAACAGGCCUUCGGGUGCUGACGAGUGGCGAACGGGUGAGUAAUGCAUCGGAACGUGCCCAGAGGUGGGGGAUACGGAAGCAAAGCUGUUGUUAUUACCCAAGUUGUUCUGAGGAGGAAGGCGGGGGACAGGGCAGCAUUGUUUGGCCUCGCGCUUUUGAAGCGGCGAUGUCAGAUUAGGUAGUUGGUGGGGUUAAGGGCUACCAAGACGACGAUCUGUAGCUGGUCUGAGAGGACGACCAGCCACACUGGGACUGAGACACGGCCCAGACUCCUACGGGAGGCAGCAGUGGGGAAUUUUGGACAAUGGGCGCAAGCCUGAUCCAGCAAUGCCGCGUGCGGGAAGAAGGCCUUCGGGUUGUAAACCGCUUUUGUACGGAACGAAAAGGCUCUGGCUAAUACCUGGGGCUGAUGACGGUACCGUAAGAAUAAGCACCGGCUAACUACGUG
This 491-nucleotide ribosomal RNA is filed under the name uncultured bacterium. RNAcentral's name for it is "partial 16S ribosomal RNA". It matches the Rfam family "Bacterial small subunit ribosomal RNA", at positions 30 to 507 of the family's 1533-position model. The record is from RNAcentral.